UCACUUACCUGGACGGGGUCAAUGGGCGAUCAAGAAGGUCCAUGGCCUAGGUUGGUGACCUCCAUUGCACUUAGGAGGGGUGCCCGUCUAAGGUCGGCCCAAGUGGUCGAGCCUACGUCAUAAUUUGUGGCAGUGGGGGCUUGCGUUCGCGCAGCCCCUGC
RNAcentral lists this small nuclear RNA (161 nucleotides) under Helianthus annuus (common sunflower). Its description in RNAcentral is "U1 spliceosomal RNA". It matches the Rfam family "U1 spliceosomal RNA". From Rfam's summary of the family: U1 is a small nuclear RNA (snRNA) component of the spliceosome (involved in pre-mRNA splicing). Its 5' end forms complementary base pairs with the 5' splice junction, thus defining the 5' donor site of an intron. Lineage: Eukaryota; Viridiplantae; Streptophyta; Magnoliopsida; Asterales; Asteraceae. The record is from RNAcentral.